AAGUCGUAACAAGGUUUCCGUAGGUGAACCUGCGGAAGGAUCAUUACUGAGAGAAGGGGCUUCGCGCUCCCGGGGGUCUUGGCCCCCAACUCUUCACCCAUUGUUCAUCUACCUCUGUUGCUUUGGCGGGUCCUUGGGGGUUGCCUGGCCCCUGCGCCCGGCUUUCGGGCGUUGGGUGAGGCGCUCGUCAGUGGCCCAUUAAAUUCCGUUUAUUCAGUAUUAUCAGAUCAAAAACACAAUAGUAAAAA
This 248-nucleotide unclassified non-coding RNA is filed under the name plant metagenome. Its description in RNAcentral is "partial contains small subunit ribosomal RNA and internal transcribed spacer 1". The stretch from base 1 to 46 matches the Rfam family "Eukaryotic small subunit ribosomal RNA", at positions 1786 to 1831 of the family's 1831-position model. The record is from RNAcentral.